RNAcentral lists this transfer RNA (83 nucleotides) under Saccoglossus kowalevskii. Its description in RNAcentral is "tRNA-Leu". It matches the Rfam family "tRNA". Rfam says of the family: Transfer RNA (tRNA) molecules are approximately 80 nucleotides in length. Their secondary structure includes four short double-helical elements and three loops (D, anti-codon, and T loops). Lineage: Eukaryota; Metazoa; Hemichordata; Enteropneusta; Harrimaniidae. The record is from RNAcentral.
AGUGUGGUGGCCGAGCGGUUAAGGCGUUGGACUUAAGUUCCAAUGGACAUUAGUCCUCGUGGGUUCAAAUCCCACCCGCACUA